Molecule: long non-coding RNA, 633 nt
Organism: Candoia aspera
Lineage: Eukaryota; Metazoa; Chordata; Lepidosauria; Squamata; Candoiidae
Exons: 2
Source: RefSeq, a predicted model, not a curated record
GUUACCAGCUUUGCAUGUGACCCCCGCCCCCAGAGGCCGAGGGGAAUGUGGUUCAGAUGCCGUCGCUGUUCCUCUGGUGGAAGCUCCAGAAGGAAGCUGGUUUGUCACAGAGAUCAGUAGUUCUUAAACUAUCUUUCAUGGAAUACCAAUGUUCUCCAAGCAGUCUGAAUGGGUUCACAUCUUCUGGGCAAGUCCCCUCUUUCAUUCUGGGGCAUGAUCCUCAGAGAAAUGAGAGGGAGACUCUAACGUGAAAACCCUGGGGACCAUGAAUAGAGAGGAGGUGUUGGGAGGACUCUCUCAGGUAUCACGUUGAACAGUUGGAGGAACGAAACCAUCACUGGACUUUUGAGAUGAAUGUUCAUGGAAAAUAGGAGCUUUUAAAUGAAGAGGGCUGGAAACUUUUACUACUCCGUCCUUUAACGUGUCCUUUGUGAAAGUGGAUUUUCGGUCUUUGCUCCAACCAAGACCAAGUACUGAAACAGAUGAGGGUUACGCCAACUCCUAAGACUUCCUUGAACAAAUCUCAUUCCAGACUUUGAUGCAAUAUGCCAUCUAUCAAGCUCACACCUCCGAUUCAGAUUUAUAAUCAUUGUAUUACAUGUAAGGGGAAAUAAAGAGUAUUAUUUAAGCACA